GUUCAGCUGACGAGUCCCAAAAUAGAACGAAAUGCACUUCCUGGAU
Non-coding RNA from Schistosoma margrebowiei, 46 nucleotides. The record is from Rfam. NCBI's taxonomy places the organism in Eukaryota, Metazoa, Platyhelminthes, Trematoda, Strigeidida, Schistosomatidae.